This 234-nucleotide ribosomal RNA is filed under the name uncultured bacterium. Its description in RNAcentral is "partial 16S ribosomal RNA". It matches the Rfam family "Bacterial small subunit ribosomal RNA", at positions 118 to 350 of the family's 1533-position model. The record is from RNAcentral.
UGAGCAACCUGCCCCUGACUCUGGGAUAACCCCGGGGAAACCGGAGCUAAUACCGGAUACGACACGCGAAGGCAUCUUCUGCGUGUAGAAAGAUUUAUCGGUCAGGGGUGGGCUCGCGGCCUAUCAGCUUGUUGGUGGGGUAACGGCCCACCAAGGCGACGACGGGUAGCUGGUCUGAGAGGAUGGCCAGCCACAUUGGGACUGAGACACGGCCCAGACUCCGUACGGGAGGCA